GCAGCAGUGGGGAAUAUUGGACAAUGGGCGCAAGCCUGAUCCAGCCAUACCGCGUGGGUGAAGAAGGCCUUCGGGUUGUAAAGCCCUUUUGUUGGGAAAGAAAAGCAUUCGGUUAAUACCCGAUUGUUCUGACGGUACCCAAAGAAUAAGCACCGGCUAACUUCGUGCCAGCAGCCGCGGUAAUACGAAGGGUGCAAGCGUUACUCGGAAUUACUGGGCGUAAAGCGUGCGUAGGUGGUUGUUUAAGUCUGUCGUGAAAGCCCUGGGCUCAACCUGGGAAUUGCGAUGGAAACUGGGCGACUAGAGUGUGGCAGAGGGUAGUGGAAUUCCUGGUGUAGCAGUGAAAUGCGUAGAGAUCAGGAGGAACAUCCGUGGCGAAGGCGACUGCCUGGGCCAACACUGACACUGAGGCACGAAAGCGUGGGGAGCAAACAGGAUUAGAUACCCUGGUAGUCCACGCCCUAAA
This 466-nucleotide ribosomal RNA is filed under the name uncultured bacterium. RNAcentral describes it as "bacterial SSU rRNA". It matches the Rfam family "Bacterial small subunit ribosomal RNA", at positions 348 to 806 of the family's 1533-position model. The record is from RNAcentral.